RNAcentral lists this signal recognition particle RNA (99 nucleotides) under Candidatus Zymogenus saltonus. RNAcentral's name for it is "Bacterial small signal recognition particle RNA". It matches the Rfam family "Bacterial small signal recognition particle RNA". Rfam says of the family: The signal recognition particle (SRP) is a universally conserved ribonucleoprotein involved in the co-translational targeting of proteins to membranes. The record is from Rfam by way of RNAcentral. Lineage: Bacteria; Deltaproteobacteria; Candidatus Zymogeniales; Candidatus Zymogenaceae.
AGCCGGGUCCUGUGCAAUAGAUGCUCCCGAACCCCGUCAGGUCCGGAAGGAAGCAGCGGUAGGGACCCUCUCUAUGUGCCGCAGGUUAACCUGGCUAUC